Molecule: long non-coding RNA, 260 nt
Filed under: Mustela putorius furo (domestic ferret)
Lineage: Eukaryota; Metazoa; Chordata; Mammalia; Carnivora; Mustelidae
Description: lncRNA (ENSMPUG00000024788.1)
Source: RNAcentral
GGUCUGUUCAGGUUGCUAUAAUAAAAUAUCACAGACUGAUGGUUUAUAAAUCACUGAAAACUAUUUUUCACAUUUCUUGAGUCUGGCAGUUCAAGAUCACAGCAUGGUUUAUUGGGUCCUGGUAAAGGAUGUCUGGUUCACAGAUGGCUGACUUCUUGCUAUGUCCUCACAUGACUGGAGGUGCAAGAGUCUACAGUGUCUCCUGGUUUGUCUCCCUCUCUGAUUUCUUCCCAUUCAGUUUUCCCUCCCUUCCCCUGUUG